CGAUGAGCUCACGCGGUGCCGCAGCCCCGUGGGGGGGGGUUUGCUCCUCGCAACAAGAUGGCGGCGGCGGCGGCGGCUGCAGCGGCAGCGGCGAGCGGCGCGGGGGGGCCCCCUCCGGCCCCGCGGCUGUCCCCGGCCCCGCCGCCCCCGCGCCCCCCCGGGCCCGCCCGCAUCGGCUACUACGAGAUCGAGCGGACCAUCGGCAAGGGCAACUUCGCCGUCGUGAAGCUGGCCACGCACCUGGUGACCCGGGCCAAGGUUGCUAUAAAGAUAAUUGAUAAGACACAGCUUGAUGAAGAGAACCUGAAGAAGAUAUUUAGAGAAGUUCAGAUCAUGAAGAUGCUUUGCCACCCACAUAUCAUCAGGUUAUACCAGGUUAUGGAGACGGAGAGGAUGAUUUAUCUAGUGACAGAGUAUGCUAGUGGAGGGGAAAUAUUUGAUCACUUGGUGGCCCACGGACGUAUGGCAGAGAAGGAAGCCCGGAGAAAGUUCAAGCAAAUAGUGGCUGCUGUCAACUUCUGUCACUGUCGUAAUAUAGUCCACAGAGAUCUGAAGGCAGAAAAUCUACUUCUGGAUGCUAACCUUAACAUCAAAAUAGCAGAUUUUGGGUUCAGUAACAUCUUCACACCUGGUCAGCUGCUCAAAACCUGGUGUGGGAGUCCUCCCUAUGCUGCUCCAGAGCUCUUUGAAGGAAAGGAAUACGAUGGGCCAAAGGUUGACAUUUGGAGUCUCGGUGUGGUGCUGUACGUGCUGGUCUGCGGCGCUCUGCCCUUCGACGGGAGCACGCUGCAGAACCUGCGAGCGAGGGUGCUCAGUGGGAAAUUUCGCAUUCCAUUUUUCAUGUCCACAGAAUGUGAACAUCUGAUCCGCCACAUGCUGGUCUUGGACCCAAGCAAGCGGCUCUCCAUGGAGCAGAUCUGCAAACACAAGUGGAUGAAGCUUGGGGAGGCUGAUGCGGAGUUUGACAGGCUGAUAGCAGAGUGUCAGCACCUGAAGACCGAGAGGCAGAUGGAGCCGCUGAACGAGGAUGUGUUGCUGGCAAUGGCGGACAUGGGGCUGGACAAGGAACGCACAAUUCAGUCAUUAAGAGCCGAUGCUUAUGAUCACUACAGUGCAAUCUACAGCCUGCUCUGCGACCGUCUGAAGAGACACAAGAAUCUGCGCAUCGCAGCAUCUCCAAGUAUACCACGGACCAUGACCUUCCCCACUUCUACUAACCUCCAGCAGACAGAACAGACAGGCAAUACCAUGAGCAUCAAUGUGCCACAAGUCCAGCUCAUCAACCCUGAAAACCAAAUUGUGGAGACUGACGGAACAAUGAACUUGGACAGUGAUGAAGGGGAAGAGCCAUCACCUGAAGCUCUGGUUCGUUACCUCUCUAUGAGAAGGCACACGGUUGGAGUAGCUGACCCACGGACGGAAGUCAUGGAAGACCUGCAGAAGCUCCUGCCUGGCUUCCCCCGUGUCACUCCUCAGGCUCCAUUCCUGCAGGUGACCCCGAAUGUGAACUUCAUGCACAAUGUGCUGCCUAGGCAGAACCUGCAGCCCACGGGUCAGCUGGAGUACAAGGAGCAGUCGCUGCUGCAGCCCCCCACCCUGCAGCUGCUGAAUGGCAUGGGUCCUCUGGGGCGGAGAGCAUCAGAUGGCGGAGCCAACAUCCAGUUACACGCACAGCAACUGUUGAAACGUCCUCGAGGUCCAUCUCCGCUCGUCACUAUGACGCCAGCUGUCCCAGCUGUCACCCCUGUGGACGAGGAGAGCUCCGAUGGGGAGCCAGAUCAGGAAGCUGUGCAGAGAUACUUGGCAAAUAGGUCAAAAAGGCACACUCUGGCAAUGACCAACCCUACAGCUGAAAUCCCUCCAGACUUGCAGAGGCAGCUAGGACAGCAGUCCUUCCGACCCCGGGCUUGGGCUCCACACCUGGUACCCGAUCAGCACCGUUCUAUUUACAAGGACUCAAAUACGCUGCACCUCCCCACUGAACGCUUCUCCCCAGUUCGGCGCUUCUCUGAUGGUGCUGCCAGCAUCCAGGCUUUCAAAGCCCACCUGGAGAAGAUGGGCAAUAACAGUAGCAUCAAACAGCUUCAGCAGGAGUGUGAGCAGCUUCAGAAGAUGUAUGGUGGGCACAUGGAUGAGAGGACGCUGGAGAAGACACAGCAGCAGCACAUGUUGUACCAGCAGGAGCAGCACCAUCAGAUUCUUCAUCAGCAGAUUCAGGACUGUAUCCGGCCACCCCAGCCGUCUCCACCCUUGCAAGCUCCCUGUGAAAACCAGCCAGCUCUGCUCACUCAUCAGCUUCAGAGGUUGCGGAUCCAGCCAUCCAGCCCGCCCCCGAACCACCCUAAUAACCAUCUCUUCAGGCAACCAAACAGCAGCCCACCUCCCGUGAGCAGCAGUGUGCUCCAGCCCCACGGUGCCGCCUCCCAGUCCCAGUUCCAAGGGAUGCCAUCCCACAACACAAUCUUCCCGCAGUCUGGUAACUGUUCCCCUCCCCCAAACAUGGGGCUGACGUGCCUGGGCCUGCAGCAGCAGUCACAGCCUCAGCAGGUCACUAUCCAAGUGCAGGAGCCCGGCGACAUGGUCAGCAACAACCUCCUGCAAGGGGCCUCUGUGGCCGGGCAGGGCAUGUCCUCCCACGCGCGGGGCAUGCCCAUCAGCCCCAGCGCCAACCAGAUCCAGAUGCAGCACCGCGCUAACCUGAUGGCCUCCCUCACCUACGGCCACAGGCAGCUGUCCAAGCAGCUCAGUGCCGACAGCGCCGAGUCGCACAGUCUGAACGUGAACAGGUAUCCCCCCGCCAACUACGACCAGGUGCACUUACACCCCCACCUGUUCCCAGAGCAGCCUCGCGUUUCCCCCAGCAGCUACAGCCCAUCGGGAGGAGUUGGGUUUCCUGCAGCUCAGCAAGCUCUGAAAGUCCCGCAGCUUGACCAGUAUCCCAGUUUCCCUCAAAAUGCACAUCAGCAACAGCAGCACUACACCGCAUCGGCACUACAGCAAGCACUGUUGUCCCCAACACCUCCCGACUACAGCCGACACCAGCAGGUACCGCACAUCCUCCAGGGACUGCUUUCUCCCCGGCACUCUCUCACGGGGCACACGGACAUGCGGCUGCCCCAGGCAGAAUUUGCACAGCUCAUCAAGCGGCGGCAGCAACAGCAGCAGCAGCAAGAAUUUCAAGAGUUGUUCAGGCAUAUGAGUCAAGGGGAUGCUGGGAAUAUGGGCCCCAGCGUGGGACAGAACCUCUCGGAGCGCCAGUCGUUGUCUUUGCCUUAUCAGAGUGCUGACACGUACCACCCACAGAACAGCCCCCAACAUCUCUUAAAAAUCAGGGCACAAGAAUGUAUCCAGCAGGUACCUGCGUCAGUGCCGCCGCACGGAUACGUACACCAGCCAGCCCUGUUCCAUUCGGAGAGCAUGGAGGAGGACUGCGCAUGCGAGGGUGCCAGGGACAGCUUUCCAGACAGUAAGAGUUCAAACACAUUGACCAAAGGUUGCCACGAGACCCCUCUGCUUGUAAAUGCAGGAGGGCACGGGGACCCAGAAUCUUUGCUAGGAACUGCUAAUCACGUGCAGGAGUUGGGGACGCAUCAAUACAGACAUCAGCCCGCUGCUGGAUUCAGUAGGAAUAAGGUGCCCAGCAGAGGUAAGGCUUCCAGCCGCUCGCGUAGGCGAAACAAACGCUCUUCCGUGCUGGCUGCGUGCCACCUGCCUUCCCGCCGGAGGACACCGUCUCUACCCAGCACGGCAAGGGUUUCGUGACAUACUUUGCAUAGCACGGAAUUACCUAGAUUCUUGGCUUUUGUGGCCUGAAGUAAAUUGCAGGCAUAGUCUCUCUAAUAAACAGUGUUAAAUAAGAAGGGAACCCGAUCGGCUGCUUCUCUUUGGAAUUUGACCUACUUCUGCAGGCAGGUAAAGACCAGCUGCCAGAGCACCGCCAUCUUCUCAGGGAUGCUGUGUGCUCUCAAUGUGUUUGCUCUCGUUGGCGAUGUUCCCCAUCCUGUGUAAACAACAGGCUAGAAACGGUUGAGUUGUUAGCGUACCCCUAACUGUAGCAGAGGAUUCCUUCUCUUGAGAGCAGACCCUCGAGUCCAGGCUUUGCUACAGCUUCCGCAAACGCGCACAGCAGGAGUGGUGGUAAAUGUCUCGCGGCUAAGGCUGCCUUGCAGCAGCUCCCCUGGCACUUGGGGAAGCAGCAGCAGCAAGGCUCUAGCUCUGCUUGAACUAGAAGGGGUUGAUUCUGAAGAAAGUGAGUUUAAACUUGCCAUUAGCGUCUGAAGACCUUUCCUGCUAGUUGGAAGCAGUUGCGCCUUUGCUCCUCGGUGGCUGCGUUGGCAGCGGUGUGCUGUAAGAAAUUCCUGCCUGAGCUGUAAUUACAGGCCUUCUCUGCAUGAAAAACACCAUCCUAGCCCCUUGCUAAGAGGGCUUUGAAGAGAGGCUUUCCAGGCUGAGCUGGGCGGAUCAGUAUUCACUGCGGGGCUGAGUUGUGCUGGUCUGCAGCCAUCAGCUUGCCCUUGGCACAGAGGACCCUGCUGGGGAGGAGCAGUGUCCAGGGCACAGGAGGCAUGGCUUUGUUUGGGGACACAGCACGGGUUUGUUGGGAAAGUACUGGGUUGGAACAGACUGGCUCAGAGGGCAGAGCUGGCAUGCCAAGUCCUGGCCCCCCAGAGAGCAGGCUGGGGGUAGGGACAAGGCACGGCUGUUUUGCAGUAGUCUUCGAUUUUGGAUUACCAAGGUGUUUGCUCUUGGACCGCAGGUUUCCCUGUGGUGCUUGAAGCACGAGAGGGGAGAAGCACCCCAGGUUAAUCAGAGGUUGGAAGCUCUGGAGGUGCAUUUUGUUCCGAAUCAUGAAUUUGCAUCAUAAUACUGUAGACUGUUAGAUGAACAACAAGUUUUAAUGAAGUCCGAAGCUGAAUUUCUGUCCCCAUAAUGGUGCUAGAGCCAGUUACACAAGGGCAAAGGACUUUAGCCUAUAAGACUUCGUAAAUGAGUAAAAGCAAGUAAAUGUUUACAAAUAGUAUUGUGUAAGCCCUUCUGACAGGGCUGUUUGUAGGGCUCAUGUAGUAAGCUAUGUCCUGAGAUGUGACCGCUUGCACUGCUUUCCUCCUAGCGCUUCAAUAACCCACUUGGAAUCAGGCCUGCACUGCUUCGGUUCCAGGCAGGGUUGACAUCUCAGCUGCCUAGGUGCCCGUACCUACAAUUAAAUCCUACAAAACCUCGGUGAACGUGCCGCUAGCCUGCCGGUGCUUUGCCUCACCCGUGUGUAGCCCAGCUCCAGCGUUGCCCAGCACACCGUGCGCAGGCACCGGGGGAUGAGCGGGGAGACUUGCCCUGGCUGAGCGUAGCUCCUCUCCCUGUGCCGGUGCUGACAGCUGGGCUUUCUCACCCACAUCCCUGGGUUCUCCUGUUAUUUUCCCUGUGCUGUGUUGUAAAACUGCAACUUCUCUUGAGACGGGGUGUAUCUUCUCUUGCGCCCCGGCUCACCAAGUGUAUUUUCCCUGGAGCGGGGUGUAACUUCGCAGUGACUUGGGAGUAUUUGUGCCUUCUAAGGGAGCGUGUUGACCCUGAUCAAAAAGCCCUGGCUUGUCUGUUGAGCAUCUGCUGGAGAUGGCAGCUGGUGACGGCGAGAGUGUCAACCAAGUCUGUGUUUAGGAUGUGACUAAACCACUUUUGAACGACUUCGCUCCCGUUUUACUCCAACCUAGCCGUCACAGGGCUGGGAACGCUGCCCAUGGGAAACCUGCCUCUCCUCAGCACUGAAGGAGCUGAGCUGGCGGCGGUGGUCCUGCCCGCGGUGCCAGUGUCACAUGCCUCACCGACACAAAGGCCGCCUGGCGCAGGAGCCCGUCCCCUAUGGAUGCAGGGAUGAAAGGCUUUCCUGCCGCGGGUUCGGGCUGCUGGAGCAGGGUUGGGGCGAGUCAGGGAGCGUGAAUUCAGGCUGUCCUGUCCCUCAGCCUGAGCCACGUCCCCAGAGGUGCUGUGCUGGCAGCGGGAAGCGUGCAGUUGUAUUUUGGGCCCAGGCCAUUCCAGGCUAAGGGGACUUGCCCCAUCGUGCCUUGUUGCCUGCAGCGCAGGGGCCGGUGCCGGGGCUCGCUGCUGGGCCUGGCUGCCGGAGCACUUCGGCACCAGGGCUGUUUGUGGAGCUGGAGAAGCAGGCUGUUGGCCCAAACAACUGUUCCCACAGUUGGAGCGGCGUCCCGAGCAGUGUGUGGGUGGCACUGCUCCGCCAACAUCUGUUACUUCAUGUUUUCCUUCUCGCUUUUCCGGGAAAGCUGACUGUUAACCGCACGUAACCCCACGGUUGUGCAAAGGAAGGGGGAGGCUGGCUGCAUCGCUGGCUGCCCCGGGACGGGGCUCCUGCAGAACUGCCAUGUCUCUGAGGGUGGAAGGGCAUUGGGAGCGGUGUGCUAGCCGAGCAGCAUGGAGAGCGUGGGUGGCAGACUGCGCCUGGGACGGGGUCUCGUUUGGAUCCUGAGUCCAUCGUAGGGAACUGUAUGGACAGGAGUUCCCCCGGCCAAGCGAUGCAGGUGCCUGACCACAACGGACUGGGCUACCCUGUGCGACCCGCCUCCAGUGAGCACCCGCGGCCCAGGACCCUGCAGAGAC
RNA transcript from Falco peregrinus (peregrine falcon), 6606 nucleotides. It is a transcript of the gene named SIK family kinase 3, with no coding region annotated. The transcript has 22 exons. NCBI's taxonomy places the organism in Eukaryota, Metazoa, Chordata, Aves, Falconiformes, Falconidae. The record is from RefSeq and is a predicted model, not a curated record.